RNAcentral lists this ribosomal RNA (550 nucleotides) under uncultured bacterium. RNAcentral's name for it is "bacterial SSU rRNA". It matches the Rfam family "Bacterial small subunit ribosomal RNA", at positions 28 to 569 of the family's 1533-position model. The record is from RNAcentral.
GAUGAACGCUAGCGGCAGGCCUAACACAUGCAAGUCGAACGGUAACAGGGAGAAGCUUGCUUUUCCGCUGACGAGUGGCGCACGGGUGCGCAACGCGUAUAGAACCUACCCUGUACAGGGGGAUAGCCCGGAGAAAUCCGGAUUAAUACCCCGUAGUAAUUAGAAUUGGCAUCGAUUUUAAUUUAAAGCUUCGGCGGUACAGGAUGGCUAUGCGUCCUAUUAGCCAGAUGGUGAGGUAACGUCUCACCAUAGCUAUGAUAGGUAGGGGCCCUGAGAGGGGGAUCCCCCACACUGGUACUGAGACACGGACCAGACUCCUACGGGAGGCAGCAGUGAGGAAUAUUGGACAAUGGGCUCACGCCUGAUCCAGCCAUGCCGCGUGCAGGAAGACAGCCCUAUGGGUUGUAAACUGCUUUUAUACGGGAAGAAUAAGGGGCACGUGUGCCCUGGUGACGGUACCGUAAGAAUAAGGACCGGCUAACUCCGUGCCAGCAGCCGCGGUAAUACGGAGGGUCCGAGCGUUAUCCGGAAUCAUUGGGUUUAAAGGGUC